GACGAACGCUGGCGGCGUGCUUAACACAUGCAAGUCGAACGAUGACGACCGAGCUUGCUCGGUCUGAUUAGUGGCGAACGGGUGAGUAACACGUGAGCAACCUGCCCUUCACUCUGGGAUAACCUCGGGAAAUCGGGGCUAAUACCGGAUAUGAGCUCUGUCGCCUGGGGGGUGUUGGGAAGGUUUUCGGUGAAGGAUGGGGUCGCGGCCUAUCAGUUUGUUGGUGAGGUAGUGGCUCACCAAGGCGAUGACGGGUAGCCGGCCUGAGAGGGCGACCGGCCACACUGGGACUGAGACACGGCCCAGACUCCUACGGGAGGCAGCAGUGGGGAAUAUUGCACAAUGGGCGAAAGCCUGAUGCAGCGACGCCGCGUGAGGGAUGACGGCCUUCGGGUUGUAAACCUCUUUCAGCAGGGAAGAAGCGAAAGUGACGGUACCUGCAGAAGAAGCGCCGGCUAACUACGUG
RNAcentral lists this ribosomal RNA (466 nucleotides) under uncultured bacterium. RNAcentral's name for it is "partial 16S ribosomal RNA". It matches the Rfam family "Bacterial small subunit ribosomal RNA", at positions 28 to 507 of the family's 1533-position model. The record is from RNAcentral.